Molecule: RNA transcript, 748 nt
Organism: Selaginella moellendorffii
Lineage: Eukaryota; Viridiplantae; Streptophyta; Lycopodiopsida; Selaginellales; Selaginellaceae
Exons: 2
Source: RefSeq, a predicted model, not a curated record
GGUUCUUGCGCAGCUCGUUUUUUCGCUUUCCUCUCGAGCCAGUUAGAAACUUCUUUUGUUCGAGAGAGAGAUUCUCUUUCUCUCUUUUCUUUGUGAUUGUAGCUGUGUAGAUAGGUUUUUUUCCAUGCCCCAGGGUGAUGCGGUGGAACAAUGGAAGGAGGAUUCCAUCAGACGAGAGUGAUCACAACGCCGCCGCCGCCGCUACCACCGGCAACAAAGAACCGAGUAUAAACAACGCUUGCGAGAGAGCAAUCGAUGAGAGAUCCAAAGCAUUGCAGCAUUGGAGAUCGAGGUUCCAAGGUCCCCAGCUCCUCCGUUUAUACAGAAGAAGAGCUUUACAAAACUUCCAUUGGUUUUUGCUAGAGAGCGCUACGUACCGUCCCUCACGCUCCAUAUGGAGGAAUGGGAAUGGUCUGAGCUGAGCUCUCAGCUCUCGAGAGUUGCCCGGCUUGACACAUCCAAGAACACAGGCACGAAAAGCUACGCUUUGAUAAUUUUUCUCCCUCGUAGACUUUCGGGCUUGCAGGUGCACAGACACACAGAAGUUGCGCUGGCGCUGGAGAAGCUGUCAACCUUAUUGUUAGUGCUUCCAGAUGCUAAGGUUUCAAUCUUCAUACUGUUUCUUGGCAGGAUUAUAUUACUCUCCCGCUUCUGCAAUCGCUAAUGCAAGUUGCUGUUACAUGCUAUCAGCUUUCUUUUAAAACUAUCUUUGUGAAGAAAUUUUUUCUUUGCAACUGAAAUUUAUCUC